CCCAAAGUACGUGGCUUAUUACCUCCAAAAUCUGUCGUGUUCUUUUUCCUUAAAAAAAUCCCUUCAGCUGAUUCCUUCUUGUUGAAAGAUACUGCAGUAUGUUUCUGAGGAUCUAAGCCUCCAAUAGGAUCGGUGACUUUAAUUUCAACCAAUUCUGGCACCAUCAAAUCAGCUUUGUUUUGUAUGCUUAAAGCAUCACCAUCAUUAUCCUCCUGUCCAACAAAAACAGGGUUAAGACAAGAAUUAUUCAUAUUCAAAGAAUUAGCAAAAUUUGGAGAUGAAUUAAAACUUAGAGCAUCGGUCGACGUGCUAAUAACAUGAGCACUUAAAGAUUUAGAAGAUCCCCCUGUAGUGUCAACUUGAAACUCGAAUUUAGUGUUUGGUCUGUCCAGCACAUUAAUUCGACUUGACCCAUUGCAGGUAAUGACCUUAUCCGAUGUGGCAGCACCCGGGCCUCUUGCACCAUUAGCCUCAACAUUAGCAGCAAUGAAAGGGACUAUUGGGUCAUUCAUAGCAUGCCUGCUCACUUUAUAAAUCUCAGGCCCGACACUCUUUUUAACUCCCCAUAUUCGCUCAUUUCCCUUAUUAUUUUCCCUUAUCUGCUCUGUAACUUUUCCAACAUCCACCGCUUGACCCUCUGUUCCCUUCUUUGUUCCAACAUUCAAAUUCAGAUUUUCCAUAUUUGUCAAGGCGUCAAAACGGGAGCCUGAUUUUCCUUGGUCCCGAAGAUUCUCUUUACUAGAAUUAAUGUUCCUAGAUUUGCGCCUAUUUUUAUUCUCGACAACCAUCCAUGGCCCGUACGCUGCUCCGUCUUUUUCGGUUGCCCUUUUCGUCGGAAUAUCACUGAUUUGUUUCUUUUCGGAUGGCAAUCCCAGUUGCUCUACGACACAGAGCUCUUUAGUAUGGCCAUAUUUUCCACAAGUAAAAUAAAUUGAGGGUAGAGCUUCAUAUUCAACCUUUUGAUGUAACCCGUUUACAAGGACUUGAGCAGUCAAGGGUUUAUCGAGAUUAAUAUAAACAGCCAUUCGGGCAAAUCUUCCCCUAGUUCUGCUGUCUGUAUUGAAGUCCAAACAGACAACUUUGCCGAUCAUACCCCCUAUUUCUUCUAGUAUUCUCCUUUUAUAUAGGAACCCUGGAAGACCUGGUAGUCUUAUCCAAGCUAAUACCAUGCUUGGAUAUGCUUGAGAUGGAGUGAAGUCCUUUGUCCAAGGUUGGACAGUCAGGUAUUGUCCAUAAAUCAUCCAAGGCCCUUGCGACAAAACCUUAGCAUAGUCAUCUGGGGAUUUAAACUUAGCGAGGAAAUAUCCAUUCUCAAUGUCCAUGAGAUGGAAAGGCAUGGAAGGGUUCCAUAAACUGCUUAUGCGGUUGUUUAAGGCUCCAUAACCAAUAUUCCUUCCAAACAGUUUUAUGGCAACUGUUUGCUCCAUUUCUUUAUAUAAUAUUUGUUGAAUCCUCUCAGAAAAAUCAAUCUCAGGGAUUCUAUUUGUAAUGCCCCUAACCCCAAACCGUCUCGAAAGAGAGUUAUGGAGCAUUACCGGAGUUUACAGAAUAAUUACACACAAUUUCAUUUACUUUCUUAUGUUCAUGUCAAAACUGUCUUCUUGAGUAACCGUCACUAAAAUAUUUAUAUCUAGAGUUACGAAACUCCAAAUUAAGUUCCGUUAAUUUUUCUUAAAACUAGACUCAUAUACCUUUCUACCAUAAAAUUUUCAGAAUUUUUGGUUUAGCCAAUUAGUACAGUUUAUUCCUCAAAGUUACCCCAGAUCUGCUGUUUGACAGUUUCGGCCUUUCUUUACUAAAAUUUAAUUAUCUCAUAGCACAGGACUUGGAUGAUGUUCCCGUUUAUUUCUCUUGAAAAUAGACUCAUUAAAGAUUCUAAGCAUAUAAAUUAUAGCCUGUAAUUAUUUUUAUACAAUUUUUAAUGAUUUUCCAAAUUCAGAAUAGGGAAUUCCAAAAUCAAUCUGACAUUGUCUCACAAAAAUUCAAAUUCAUACCAAAUUAGUCAAAUCCUAUUUUAUACCAUAGCCAAAUCUAAAUUUAUUUAUUUCAUCCUUACAUUUACAAUUUCAAAAUGACAUACACAUAAGACAUCCUAGGUACAUGCCAUUAUCAAUAAUUAACACACUUUACCUUAAUGAAUUCGGGAUCGGACUGAGAUGCUGAUUCAACGUACUAUCUUUACUUAACCUGCGCACGGAAACAAAUCGUACGCUGAGUAUGGUAUACUCAGUGGUAUUUCUAUAAUCCGAACACUUGAUAAUAUAACAAUUAAACUUAAAAUCACAAUGAUAAAUAUAACCAUUCAUUUAUUUAUUUUAUCGAUAAGUUUCAUUUACUUACCAUAAAAAUUCUAUACAAGCCAUAUAACAAACAUAACAACAUAUUUGCUCAAUUCUUUCCAUUUGCUUACUGUAUAAAUUCUUUCAAUAUAUUCACAAUUCACUUGUAUUCACACUUUACUUCUUAACAAUAUACCAUUUUAAUUCAUUCUAACAUCAAUCAUCAUCCAUUUGAACUUCACUCAUUUCAUGAACCUUUUGGUUCAUGUUUUCAAUCUCAUAUCUCAAUUUCAAUUCUCAAUUCAAUUUCUCAUUUCAUUCCAAUAAUUCAAUCAAUCAAAUUCAGUCGAUUUAUCUUUUCACUUAUUUACCCCUAUUAACAAACUCGGACUUUGACGGAUACACGGAUUCCAACCCAAACACACCAGUACGGCACAUUGUGCCUAAAACGGUACACAGUUCUGAUCAAUAUACGACACAUUAAGUGCCUAAAACGACACACGAGGUACCUGAUACGACACACGAGGUGCCUGAUACGACACACGAGGUGCCUGAAAUACGACACAUAAAGUGCCUGAUCGAUAAAGCCGGCAAAUCCCGUACACUUCCAGAUCCUAUGGUAUGCCAAUUAUAUCCGACUCAGCCCGACUAGUUAAUAGGGUAUUUUAUUCACUUUCUCAAUUUAAUAAUUCUUUCAUCAAUAUCUCAUUCCGAUAAUUACACAUAUUUACCCAUUUUCACAAUUCAUACAAUAUCAUUCAAUUCAACAAAUAUAUUUCAAUUAUGCACAUUAAUUCAUAAUUCAAUUCAAUUCACUUUUCAAUACCAAAUAUUCAAAUAUCACAAUCUCAUAUAUUCAUAUCAAUUUCCUCAUAUUUCCAAUCAAUAUAUUUUUCAAUAUAACAUUCAUUCAAUAUUCAAAUUUCUACAUAAGUCAUAUAUAUUAUAUAAUUCAAUCAAUAUAAAUUCAAUCAAAAUAAUUUCAAUCAAUAUAAAUUCAAUAAAACAGAUAUUCAUAAAUCAAUUCAAUAUAAAUUAUAAAGACACAAUACAAAUAAUUCCCAUCUUAAUUAUUUAUCAUAAUAUUUAUCCAAAAUUCAAUUAUCAUAAUUGCAUAAUAUCUCAUUCACACACACACACACACACACACAUAUAUAUAAAUAUAUUUAUAAUAUAUAAUUCAAUUUAAUUCAAUCAAUAUAAAUUCAUCACAUACCAAAUUAAUCCAUUUCCAUUAUAAACACAAUAAUUCUCACUUCAACAUUUAUUAAAUGCAUUGAAUAAAAAAAUAUAACAAUUAAUAACUAGGUUCGGAUUAUAGAAAUACAAACCGUAUUUUCUCGAGCUAACUCGCUUUGUCUUUGCCAUUUUUUUUCCUUGCUUAGCCGAGGUUUCCGGAGACAACAUUAGCUACGGGAAUUAAAACAAUUCAUAUUCGUUAAUUCACUACUAAUUUAUAUCUAAUUAAUACAAUUUUUAUUCAAUUUCUACUUUAAUUUCAAUUUAAUCUUAACUAGAUUUACUUACUUUUUCUAUCUCAAUUCAUACUUCAUUUCUAUUCAAAUUUUGUCCAAACUCAUACUUAACUAUUAAAUUUCUAGCAUAUUUUCAUAAUUUCGAAUUUAUUUCCAUUUAAUCCCUAAAACUCAAAACUUAUAGCUUAGUUUACGAUUCAAUCCUUUAUUCAAUUCCAAUCAAAAUUUCUAUCAAAUAAACCCCCAAUUCCAUCAUUUUAUUCAACAUGAACCAUACUUAGAAAUCUAAUGACUUUCAAAAUUUCUACUUAAAACAAGUAGUAUUUAUCUCUAGGAUUCCAAAAACUCAAAAAUCAUAAGAAAAUAGGCUAAAUUGACUUACCAAAUUAACUUGGAACCUUUAAAACCUUAUUUUUCCCUUUUUCUUUUCUUCCUUUCUCCCUUCUCUGUUUCAUCCCCUGCUAUUCUGUUUCUUUCCUCUUUUUAUUCUUUUGUUUCUUUUAUAUAUAUAUAAUG
Molecule: long non-coding RNA, 4270 nt
Filed under: Gossypium barbadense (sea-island cotton)
Lineage: Eukaryota; Viridiplantae; Streptophyta; Magnoliopsida; Malvales; Malvaceae
Description: long non-coding RNA (GBAR_LNC007798)
Source: RNAcentral